Molecule: ribosomal RNA, 440 nt
Filed under: uncultured Myxococcales bacterium
Lineage: Bacteria; Pseudomonadati; Myxococcota; Myxococcia; Myxococcales
Description: bacterial SSU rRNA
Rfam family: Bacterial small subunit ribosomal RNA
Source: RNAcentral
AGCGAACGCUAGCGGCGGGCUUAACACAUGCAAGUCGAGCGGUCCUUCGGGACAGCGGCGAACGGGUGAGUAACACGUGGGUUACCUGCCCUCUGGUGGGGGAUAAGCCAGGGAAACUUGGUCUAAUACCGCAUGAGGUCUACGGAUCAAAGCCUUCGGGCGCCAGAGGAGGGGCCUGCGUCCCAUUAUUUAAUCCUAGUUGGUGGGGUAACGGCCUACCAAGGGUACGAUGGGUAGCUGGUCUGAGAGGAUGAUCAGCCACACUGGGACUGAGACACGGCCCAGACUCCUACGGGAGGCAGCAGUGGGGAAUAUUGCGCAAUGGGCGAAAGCCUGACGCAGCUACGCCGCGUGAGUGAUGAAGGCCCUCGGGUCGUAAAGCUCUGUCGGGAGGGAAGAAGUUCUGACGGUACCUCCCAAGAAAGCACCGGCUAACUCCG